GACGAACGCUGGCGGCGUGCUUAACACAUGCAAGUCGAACGGGGCGAAGUGAUAGCUUGCUAUUAUGGAGCCUAGUGGCAAACGGGUGAGUAACGCGUAGGCAACCUGCCCCUUCAGAUGGGGACAACACCUCGAAAGGGGUGCUAAUACCGAAUGACGUUUCCUGGUCGCAUGACCUGGAAACCAAAGGCCGGGCAACCGGUCACUGAAGGAUGGGCCUGCGUCUGAUUAGCUAGUUGGUGGGGUAACGGCCCGACCAAGGCGACGAUCAGUAGCCGGUCUGAGAGGAUGAACGGCCACAUUGGGACUGAG
Molecule: ribosomal RNA, 312 nt
Filed under: uncultured bacterium
Lineage: Bacteria
Description: bacterial SSU rRNA
Rfam family: Bacterial small subunit ribosomal RNA
Source: RNAcentral